GAUGAACGCUGGCGGCGUGCCUAAUACAUGCAAGUCGAGCGAACAGACGAGGAGCUUGCUCCUCUGACGUUAGCGGCGGACGGGUGAGUAACACGUGGAUAACCUACCUAUAAGACUGGGAUAACUUCGGGAAACCGGAGCUAAUACCGGAUAACAUGUUGAACCGCAUGGUUCAACAGUGAAAGACGGUCUUGCUGUCACUUAUAGAUGGAUCCGCGCCGCAUUAGCUAGUUGGUAAGGUAACGGCUUACCAAGGCAACGAUGCGUAGCCGACCUGAGAGGGUGAUCGGCCACACUGGAACUGAGACACGGUCCAGACUCCUACGGGAGGCAGCAGUAGGGAAUCUUCCGCAAUGGGCGAAAGCCUGACGGAGCUACGCCGCGUGAGUGAUGAAGGUCUUCGGAUCGUAAAACUCUGUUAUUAGGGAAGAACAAAUGUGUAAGUAACUAUGCACGUCUUGACGGUACCUAAUCAGAAAGCCACGGCUAACUACGUG
This 497-nucleotide ribosomal RNA is filed under the name uncultured bacterium. Its description in RNAcentral is "partial 16S ribosomal RNA". It matches the Rfam family "Bacterial small subunit ribosomal RNA", at positions 28 to 507 of the family's 1533-position model. The record is from RNAcentral.